GGAGCAGUUCCUCCCCAUAGUUGCAUCGCAGUUUGGUUUACAGUUCCUCUGGCACUUGGGGAACCUUCAUUGCUCCCCCUCAGAUGCCAGCACCAGGUGUCUCAGGGUCUGGGUCCUGGAGUCAGGGACACCAAUAUCAGGAGUUUGCUCCCAGCUCAGCCGUCACUGCUAUGAGAAUGGCCAGUUGAAUUGCUGUAUGAAGAGCCCAUGCACCAUAAGAAGGGAGAAAGAGAUACUGGAUGCAUUACGAACAAGUGUCCAUUGGCUACCCAGCACCCAUACAUAUUCUUCUUUCCAUUCAUCUUCUUAGAAACAUGUUUCCUCACUAGAGACAACUGAAAGAUUAGUACAUUAGCUCCAAGUUUUGAUUCUCUUGAUGAUGUGGGGUCUUCUCCAUCAUGUCUGAGUAAACUCCCCACAGUCUAGGGACUUUUGGUAAUACUGUGUUUUCCACCUAUAACACAACCCGUAUAAAAUGAUGAAGAAAGCGCAAGAUAAUGGCAAUAAAAAAUUACCUUUUGGAAAAGAGAAGAAUGGAAACAACACACAAUAGUCCUUAGUCCAUGCUAACAUCAUUCCUGCCGGGCAGAAAUGGUUGAUAGAAACAGUUAACAGACAGAAGAAUGUUCAUGACAACACGUCAAUCACCGACAAAAUGGACACCUGUUCUACUUAUAACAUCAUAUCAGACACCGUCCCCUUGUACUGCUGUAACUCCAACACUAGCUGAAGUUCAAGCUGCUCUAUAAGGCUUUUCUUUUAUAAAGAUCUAUGGGGAGAAAAUAGGAAGACAGACCCAAAAAUUUAUAGAAAAGCUUUAUUUUGUACCCAUUUUCACACAUCACUCAGACAAACCAUGAAUUCUACUUUCCCCCAGUUUCAUAUAAAACUACAUACACCGCACUGUACAUGUAAAACAAAUUUGGAAAGGAGCCUCAAGCUGGCCUCUGAAAUUGUGUAAGCAAUUAUCACAUUUUUGUGCGCAAAUGCAGUAAUUAUAUGUGUAAUUUGGCAGCUGGGUUUGAAAAUUUGGCCUUAAAUGGAACAUAGACAGGAAAAAUAAAUGUUGGAAAAUGCCAAUAUUUUAUAAAGAUUUUGAAUCAAAUAAUGGUGGAAUUAUUGCAAGCCAUCUUAAUUUUUAAUUAUAAUGAUCAUUACACAAUAUACAAUCAUUUUUUUGAGGAAGGAAAGAACUAUAGAUCAAUUGCUCAUCGUUUUUGUCAAAAAAAAUGCCUCAUUCUUGAGGAGGAUAAUUGUAUUUUUUAGAGGUUAUGGUACAUAUUUCAAAGGCUUUUUUUCCUUAUGAAGAAAAGAUAGUGAUUGCCUACUAGUUCAAGUUCUAUGACAUAUUUUACUAUGGGAAGAAUAGAACUUUUUGUACCGAUUAUUUUAGAGAAAAAGUAGUAUCAACUCUGUGCUUAUAUUUGAGCUAGUAAUCUUAAAUUAGAUAAAGCUUUCUUAUAGGCAUUUAAGCUUUGGAAUAUGAGAUUAUAACCCAAAUGACAAGUAAUUUAGAUUUCUUUGAUCUAGAUUUAAAUUGAAUUCACAUGGUAAAAUCAUAGUUUUUGUAUUGUCAUCAAGAUUGAUUCUAAUGCAUGUGGCUUUUUCAUGUGGUUAUAAGGGCUAGUGACUUGGAUAUAAUGUUAAGGAUGACCCUGGAGCAAUGUUAUAUUCUGUUGUUAGCAUGGUAAUGUAGAGGUUAAUUGUGCAGACUAUGGAGCCAGACAGCCUGGAUUCCAGUUCUGGCUCUACCAUUCUAUUAGCCCUAUGACCUUAAGCCAGUCGCUCUAUGUUUCAAAUGCUUAUUUUUAAAAUGUCUUGUUAAUUGUGAUUGGUUCAUAUUAUCAUCAGCUAUUACAAUUCUAUAUAUGCAUA
Ailuropoda melanoleuca (giant panda) is the source of this 1875-nucleotide long non-coding RNA. RefSeq lists it as uncharacterized. The transcript has 3 exons. The record is from RefSeq and is a predicted model, not a curated record. Lineage: Eukaryota; Metazoa; Chordata; Mammalia; Carnivora; Ursidae.